Molecule: ribosomal RNA, 499 nt
Filed under: uncultured bacterium
Lineage: Bacteria
Description: bacterial SSU rRNA
Rfam family: Bacterial small subunit ribosomal RNA
Source: RNAcentral
GAUCCUGGCUCAGAUUGAACGCUGGCGGCAUGCCUUACACAUGCAAGUCGAACGGUAACGCGGGGCAACCUGGCGACGAGUGGCGAACGGGUGAGUAAUAUAUCGGAACGUGCCCAAUAGUGGGGGAUAGCCCGGCGAAAGCCGGAUUAAUACCGCAUGAGACCUGAGGGUGAAAGGCGGGGGAUUCUUCGGAACCUCGCGCGAUUGGAGCGGCCGAUGUCGGAUUAGCUAGUAGGUGAGGUAAAGGCUCACCUAGGCGACGAUCCGUAGCGGGUCUGAGAGGAUGAUCCGCCACACUGGGACUGAGACACGGCCCAGACUCCUACGGGAGGCAGCAGGUGGGGAAUUUUGGACAAUGGGGGCAACCCUGAUCCAGCCAUGCCGCGUGAGUGAAGAAGGCCUUCGGGUUGUAAAGCUCUUUCAGCCGGGAAGAAAUCGGCGCCUCUAACAUAGGCGUCGGAUGACGGUACCGGACCAAGAAGCACCGGCUAACUACGUG